AAGUCGAACGAAGCACCUUACCGGAUUCUUCGGAUGAAAGUUUGGUGACUGAGUGGCGGACGGGUGAGUAACGCGUGGGUAACCUGCCCUGUACAGGGGGAUAACAGCUGGAAACGGCUGCUAAUACCGCAUAAGCGCACGAGGAGACAUCUCCUAGUGUGAAAAACUCCGGUGGUACAGGAUGGGCCCGCGUCUGAUUAGCUGGUUGGCAGGGUAACGGCCUACCAAGGCAACGAUCAGUAGCCGGUCUGAGAGGAUGAACGGCCACAUUGGAACUGAGACACGGUCCAAACUCCUACGGGAGGCAGCAGUGGGGAAUAUUGCACAAUGGGGGAAACCCUGAUGCAGCAACGCCGCGUGAGUGAAGAAGUAUUUCGGUAUGUAAAGCUCUAUCAGCAGGGAAGAUAAUGACGGUACCUGACUAAGAAGCUCCGGCUAAAUACGUGCCAGCAGCCGCGGUAAUACGUAUGGAGCAAGCGUUAUCCGGAUUUACUGGGUGUAAAGGGUGCGUAGGUGGCAGUGCAAGUCAGAUGUGAAAGGCCGGGGCUCAACCCCGGAGCUGCAUUUGAAACUGCUCGGCUAGAGUACAGGAGAGGCAGGCGGAAUUCCUAGUGUAGCGGUGAAAUGCGUAGAUAUUAGGAGGAACACCAGUGGCGAAGGCGGCCUGCUGGACUGUUA
RNAcentral lists this ribosomal RNA (678 nucleotides) under uncultured Lachnospiraceae bacterium. RNAcentral describes it as "bacterial SSU rRNA". It matches the Rfam family "Bacterial small subunit ribosomal RNA", at positions 59 to 739 of the family's 1533-position model. Lineage: Bacteria; Bacillati; Bacillota; Clostridia; Lachnospirales; Lachnospiraceae. The record is from RNAcentral.